Molecule: long non-coding RNA, 200 nt
Filed under: Capsella rubella
Lineage: Eukaryota; Viridiplantae; Streptophyta; Magnoliopsida; Brassicales; Brassicaceae
Description: long non-coding RNA (CRUB_LNC003701)
Source: RNAcentral
UCAAUCUUCUCUAAGUGCCAUUUUUCAAAGCUCAUUUCAAAUCCUGCCACAAAGAAUUUAGUAUGUACGAUUUUGCCUCAUGCAAAUGUUUUGGAAAAAACAAAUCAAAAUAAAAAAGAAAUCUUGUCCACAAGAUCUGGUCCACUAGAUCUUGUCCACAAAAUCUGGUCCACUAGAUCUGAUCCGACAUAACUAUUUCG